This 95-nucleotide microRNA precursor is filed under the name Chlorocebus sabaeus (green monkey). RNAcentral describes it as "miRNA (ENSCSAG00000020878.1)". The record is from RNAcentral. Lineage: Eukaryota; Metazoa; Chordata; Mammalia; Primates; Cercopithecidae.
UAUACACACAUGUGGUACACCCAGUGUGAUAUUAGGAGUUAUAUCUCCGUAGGAUAUUAUGAAUAAUAUCACAGGGGGUGUACACACAUGGUGAA